UACCCUUAACAUUCAGUGACAACCACAGAGAUGUGGCUUUCCUUUCGAGGACACUGGGAUAGGUGCUGCAUGGCUGUCGUCAGCUCGUGUCGUAAGAUGUUCGGUUAAGUCCGGUAACGAGCGCAACCCUUAUCCUUAGUUACCAGCAUUAAGUUGGGGACUCUGAGGAGACUGCCGGUGUUAAACCGGAGGAAGGCGGGGAUGACGUCAAGUCCUCAUGGCCCUUACGGGUAGGGCUACACACGUACUACAAUGGCAGGAACAAACCGUAGCGAAACCGCGAGGUGGAGCUAAUCGGUAAAACACUGUCUCAGUCCGGAUUGCAGUCUGCAACUCGACUGCAUGAAGCUGGAAUCGCUAGUAAUCGCUGAUCAGCAAGCAGCGGUGAAUACGUUCACCGGGACCU
RNAcentral lists this ribosomal RNA (406 nucleotides) under uncultured bacterium. RNAcentral's name for it is "bacterial SSU rRNA". It matches the Rfam family "Bacterial small subunit ribosomal RNA", at positions 976 to 1378 of the family's 1533-position model. The record is from RNAcentral.